This 631-nucleotide ribosomal RNA is filed under the name uncultured Lachnospiraceae bacterium. RNAcentral describes it as "bacterial SSU rRNA". It matches the Rfam family "Bacterial small subunit ribosomal RNA", at positions 67 to 706 of the family's 1533-position model. Lineage: Bacteria; Bacillati; Bacillota; Clostridia; Lachnospirales; Lachnospiraceae. The record is from RNAcentral.
UGAAAGAUUUCUUCGGAAUGAAUUUGAUUUAGUUUAGUGGCGGACGGGUGAGUAACGCGUGAGUAACCUGCCUUCAAGAGGGGGAUAACAUUCUGAAAAGAAUGCUAAUACCGCAUGACAUAUUGGAACCACAUGGUUUUGAUAUCAAAGAUUUUAUCGCUUGAAGAUGGACUCGCGUCCGAUUAGUUAGUUGGUGAGGUAACGGCUCACCAAGACCGCGAUCGGUAGCCGGACUGAGAGGUUGAACGGCCACAUUGGGACUGAGACACGGCCCAGACUCCUACGGGAGGCAGCAGUGGGGGAUAUUGCGCAAUGGGGGCAACCCUGACGCAGCAACGCCGCGUGAAGGAUGAAGGUUUUCGGAUUGUAAACUUCUUUUAUUAAGGACGAAACUUGACGGUACUUAAUGAAUAAGCUCCGGCUAACUACGUGCCAGCAGCCGCGGUAAUACGUAGGGAGCAAGCGUUGUCCGGAUUUACUGGGUGUAAAGGGUGCGUAGGCGGCUUUGCAAGUCAGAUGUGAAAUCUAUGGGCUCAACCCAUAAACUGCAUUUGAAACUGUAGAGCUUGAGUGAAGUAGAGGCAGGCGGAAUUCCCCGUGUAGCGGUGAAAUGCGUAGAGAUGGGGAGGAA